Molecule: ribosomal RNA, 253 nt
Filed under: uncultured bacterium
Lineage: Bacteria
Description: partial 16S ribosomal RNA
Rfam family: Bacterial small subunit ribosomal RNA
Source: RNAcentral
UACGUAGGGGGCAAGCGUUGUCCGGAUUUAUUGGGCGUAAAGAGCGUGUAGGCGGCCAGACAGGUCCGUUGUGAAAACUCGAGGCUCAACCUCGAGAUGUCGAUGGAAGCCGUCUGGCUAGAGUCCGGAAGAGGAGUGUGGAAUUCCUGGUGUAGCGGUGAAAUGCGCAGAUAUCAGGAAGAACACCCGUGGCUAAGGCGGCUCUCUAGUACGGUACUGACGCUGAGACGCGAAAGCGUGGGGAGCGAACAGG